This 71-nucleotide transfer RNA is filed under the name Cordylochernes scorpioides. RNAcentral describes it as "tRNA-Gly". It matches the Rfam family "tRNA". From Rfam's summary of the family: Transfer RNA (tRNA) molecules are approximately 80 nucleotides in length. Their secondary structure includes four short double-helical elements and three loops (D, anti-codon, and T loops). Further hydrogen bonds mediate the characteristic L-shaped molecular structure. tRNAs have two regions of fundamental functional importance: the anti-codon, which is responsible for specific mRNA codon recognition, and the 3' end, to which the tRNAs corresponding amino acid is attached (by aminoacyl-tRNA synthetases). tRNAs cope with the degeneracy of the genetic code in two manners: having more than one tRNA (with a specific anti-codon) for a particular amino acid; and 'wobble' base-pairing, i.e. permitting non-standard base-pairing at the 3rd anti-codon position. Lineage: Eukaryota; Metazoa; Arthropoda; Arachnida; Pseudoscorpiones; Chernetidae. The record is from RNAcentral.
CCAUCGGUGGUUCAGUGGUAGAAUGCUCGCCUGCCACGCGGGAGGCCCGGGUUCGAUUCCCAGCCGAUGCA